This 362-nucleotide ribosomal RNA is filed under the name uncultured Thalassiosira. Its description in RNAcentral is "partial Bacterial large subunit ribosomal RNA". It matches the Rfam family "Bacterial large subunit ribosomal RNA", at positions 1507 to 1845 of the family's 2925-position model. The record is from RNAcentral. Lineage: Eukaryota; Bacillariophyta; Thalassiosirophyceae; Thalassiosirales; Thalassiosiraceae.
CGUAUUUAAGGUUGUGGCCCGCCGCCCAGGUAAAUCCGGGUGGCAUGAGGGUGAGAACUGAUGAGGGACACACGCGUGUGUGGACUUGUGGUGAUCCUAUGCUGCCGAGAAAAGCCUCGACGUGAGGGCAUGACGCGCCCGUACCCUAAACCGACUCAGGUGGUCAGGUAGAGUAUACCGAGGCGUUCGAGUGAAUCGUGGUUAAGGAACUCGGCAAAAUUCCUCCGUAACUUCGGGAUAAGGAGGACCCCGUGACUUCCCCGCGCCAUUGCGCGCGGUGUGGGGUUGUGGGGUCGCAGAGAAUAGGGAGAAGCGACUGUUUAUCAAAAACACAGGACUCUGCUAAAUCGAAAGAUGCUGUA